Molecule: transfer RNA, 90 nt
Filed under: Clostridia bacterium
Lineage: Bacteria; Bacillati; Bacillota; Clostridia
Description: tRNA-Ser
Rfam family: tRNA
About the family: Transfer RNA (tRNA) molecules are approximately 80 nucleotides in length. Their secondary structure includes four short double-helical elements and three loops (D, anti-codon, and T loops).
Source: RNAcentral
GGAGAGGUGUCCGAGUGGUUUAAGGAGCUGGUCUUGAAAACCAGUGACUCCUUUGUGGAGCCGUGGGUUCGAAUCCCACCCUCUCCGCCA